GGAAGUAAAAUAACAGGGUUUCCGUAGGUGAACCUGCGGAAGGAUCAUUACUGAGUGAGGGCCCCUCGGGGUCCAACCUCCCACCCGUGUUUAACGAACCUUGUUGCUUCGGCGGGUCCGCCUCACGGCCGCCGGGGGGCAUCUGCCCCCGGGCCCGCGCCCGCCGAAGCCACCUGUGAACGCUGUCUGAAGUAUGCAGUCUGAGACAAUUAUUAAAUUAAUUAAAACUUUCAACAACGGAUCUCUUGGUUCCG
This 254-nucleotide unclassified non-coding RNA is filed under the name plant metagenome. RNAcentral describes it as "partial contains small subunit ribosomal RNA, internal transcribed spacer 1, and 5.8S ribosomal RNA". The record is from RNAcentral.